CCGGGAGAGGUGAGAGGUACUACAGGGGUAGGAGCGAAAUCUUGUAAUCCCUGUGGGACCACCUGUGGCGAAGGCGUCUUACCAGAACGGGUUCGACGGUGAGGGACGAAAGCUGGGGGCACGAACCGGAUUAGAUACCCGGGUAGUCCCAGCCGUAAACGAUGCUCGCUAGGUGUCAGGCAUGGCGCGACCGUGUCUGGUGCCGCAGGGAAGCCGUGAAGCGAGCCACCUGGGAAGUACGGCCGCAAGG
Molecule: ribosomal RNA, 250 nt
Filed under: uncultured archaeon
Lineage: Archaea
Description: partial 16S ribosomal RNA
Rfam family: Archaeal small subunit ribosomal RNA
Source: RNAcentral